UACAGAGGGGGCAAGCGUUGUUCGGAAUUACUGGGCGUAAAGGGCGCGUAGGCGGCCUUCUAAGUCGAACGUGAAAUCCCUGGGCUCAACCCAGGAACUGCGUCCGAUACUGGAAGGCUUGAAUCCGGGAGAGGGAUGCGGAAUUCCAGGUGUAGCGGUGAAAUGCGCAGAUAUCAGGAGGAACACCGGUGGCGAAGGCGGAUCUCUGGGCCUUACCUGACGCUGAGGCGCGAAAGCUAGGGGAGCGAACAGG
RNAcentral lists this ribosomal RNA (253 nucleotides) under uncultured bacterium. RNAcentral's name for it is "partial 16S ribosomal RNA". It matches the Rfam family "Bacterial small subunit ribosomal RNA", at positions 524 to 776 of the family's 1533-position model. The record is from RNAcentral.